This 433-nucleotide ribosomal RNA is filed under the name uncultured Oscillospiraceae bacterium. RNAcentral describes it as "bacterial SSU rRNA". It matches the Rfam family "Bacterial small subunit ribosomal RNA", at positions 341 to 792 of the family's 1533-position model. The record is from RNAcentral. Lineage: Bacteria; Bacillati; Bacillota; Clostridia; Eubacteriales; Oscillospiraceae.
ACGGGAGGCAGCAGUGGGGGAUAUUGCACAAUGGGCGGAAGCCUGAUGCAGCGACGCCGCGUGAGGGAAGACAGUUUUCGGAUUGUAAACCUCUGUCUUCGGGGACGAAAAUGACGGUACCCGAGGAGGAAGCCACGGCUAACUACGUGCCAGCAGCCGCGGUAAUACGUAGGUGGCAAGCGUUGUCCGGAAUAACUGGGUGUAAAGGGAGAGUAGGCGGUAUUGCAAGUCCGUUGUUAAAUCUAUCGGCUCAACCGAGAGCUGCGGCGGAAACUGUAGUUCUUGAGUGAAGUAGAGGCAGGCGGAAUUCCUAGUGUAGCGGUGAAAUGCGUAGAUAUUAGGUGGAACACCAGUGGCGAAGGCGGCCUGCUGGGCUUUAACUGACGCUGAGGCUCGAAAGUGUGGGGAGCAAACAGGAUUAGAUACCCUGGUA